This 1050-nucleotide ribosomal RNA is filed under the name Triticum aestivum (bread wheat). RNAcentral's name for it is "partial small subunit ribosomal RNA". The record is from RNAcentral. Lineage: Eukaryota; Viridiplantae; Streptophyta; Magnoliopsida; Poales; Poaceae.
AUGCCCCGCGGUCUCCUGCUCGUCGGCGUCGUCCUGGCGGCACAGCUCUGUGCGUGCACUGCGCAACCGUACGUUGGCAGCCGCGGCGCCGACGGGUUUAGCGUGGAGUUCAUGCACCGGGACUCCGUCGGAUCAUCGUUCCACGACCCAUCGCUCACCCCCUGGCCGCGUGCUGGUGGCCGUGCGGCGGUCGACGGCUCGCGCCCGCGCCAUCGACGACGGCACCGUGUCCGAGGCCGUCCACAGGUCGUUCGAGUACCUGAUGGCCGUGGGCAUCGGCACUCCACCCACACGGAUGCUCGCCAUCGCCGACACCGGCAGCGACCUCGCCUGGUUCAACUGCAGGAACGGCACCGGCGCCGCCCCUGUCCGUCCUCCGAGCGUCGUCGUGUUCGACCCAGACAACUCGACGACGUUCGGCCUCGUGGGCUGCAAGUCCCGCGCAUGCCGCGCGAUCCCCGACGGCAUCCCCUGUACCCUCGCCUCCAACUGCAAGUACAUCUACUCCUACGGCGACGGCUCCAGGACGAGCGGCCUCAUCUCCACCGAGACCUUCACCUUCGCCCACGUCCCCGGCACCGCCCGCGGCCAUCGGGGUCGGAGGAAGCGCGUGGCCACCGUGAACUUCGGCUGCUCCACGGCCACGGCCGGCACGUUCCAAGCGGACGGCGUCGUGGGCCUCGGAGGCGGCGCCCUCUCCCUCGUCACGCAGCUCGGCGCCCACAAAUCGCUCGGCGAUCGGAGGUUCUCCUACUGCCUGGUGCCCUACUCCGUGAACGCCUCCUCCGCGCUCAACUUCGGCGCCCUCGCCACAGUGAAGGACCCAGGCGCGGUGACGACGCCGCUGAUCCCAUCCCUAGUGGACACGUACUACACCGUCGACCUCCAAUCCGUAAAGAUCGGGAACGCGACCUUCGCGGCGCCGCACGGGCACCACCACGUCAUCGUCGACUCCGGCACCACGCUGACGUUCCUCGCCAAGGCGCUGCUGGACCCAAUGGUAAAGGAGCUGAGCCGGCGGAUCAAGCUCCCCCGGGCGCCGUCACCUGA